GACGAACGCUGGCGGCGUGCUUAACACAUGCAAGUCGAACGAUGAAGCGGCCAGCUUGCUGGUGGUGGAUUAGUGGCGAACGGGUGAGUAACACGUGAGUAACCUGUCCUUCACUCUGGGAUAAGCCCUGGAAACGGGGUCUAAUACUAGAUAUUCUCAAUGUGCCGCAUGGUGUGUUGUGGAAAGAUUUUUUGGUGAGGGUUGGACUCGCGGCCUAUCAGCUUGUUGGUGGGGUAGUGGCCUACCAAGGCUUUGACGGGUAGCCGGCCUGAGAGGGUGACCGGCCACACUGGGACUGAGACACGGCCCAGACUCCUACGGGAGGCAGCAGUGGGGAAUCUUGCACAAUGGGCGAAAGCCUGACGCAGCAAUGCCGCGUGAGGGAAGAAGGUCUUAGGAUUGUAAACCUCUUUCAGCAGGGACGAAAACAGACGGUACCUGCAGAAGAAGCCCCGGCUAACUACGUGCCAGCAGCCGCCGUAAGAC
RNAcentral lists this ribosomal RNA (486 nucleotides) under uncultured bacterium. RNAcentral's name for it is "bacterial SSU rRNA". It matches the Rfam family "Bacterial small subunit ribosomal RNA", at positions 28 to 526 of the family's 1533-position model. The record is from RNAcentral.